Saccostrea cuccullata (small rock oyster) is the source of this 1213-nucleotide long non-coding RNA. RefSeq lists it as uncharacterized. NCBI's taxonomy places the organism in Eukaryota, Metazoa, Mollusca, Bivalvia, Ostreida, Ostreidae. The record is from RefSeq and is a predicted model, not a curated record. The transcript is spliced from 3 exons.
UGUUUGUAAACAACGCGCGGCAUUGUGGGAAAUAGGAAGGUACUAAAGACGCGAUGUACUAAACACUGAUUUGACCUGAUUCAAAUUUGUCUGUAAAUGUUCCAAACAAUUGAAUUUUUGUAUAGCAUAUGCCUCGAAGUCAUAAAGUCUGUACAUAAGUAAUUUAAAAUACUCAAUAUUACCAUUUAAUUAAAAAUUAAAACGUCAGGUAAAUAUCAGGUCUCUAGUAUAUCCCGUUUUUAGUGUGCCCCUUCGAGUCGACGUCGGACACAUGUUUGCCAUGGUUUACAAACUGAAAAUAGAAUGAUUUGUGAAGUUGAACAUUUUCUCACAAAGAAUCCGUUUGUAGACAUGUACACUCAUUUAAUCUGCAGAUACGAAGUACUUUGUCACUUCUCUGGAACAUUAUUCUAAGCAGAAUUAUCCCGAUUCAUAUAUUCUAAGAAUCUUGUGUGAAUUGUUUACGAGGAAAUUCUGACUGUCACAUUAACAAGGAUGAACACUCUUGACUCUGCUUCGGAUUCCCCAGUGAUAAUUGUAUCGAGUGAUGAAAGAGCUGACGGCGACAUUUUAAUGUAUGAUUGGCUUGGACCAUUGGAAUGAAGUCAUUUCAUGGUGCCACCACUUGGGAUGGUAUUAGCUGCAAAUAUAGACUUGUACUCAGCACUUAUUGCCUUUAAGAAGUAUGAGAUCCAUUUUGUGCUAACACCUACCGUGACACAGAAUCUUGGUUUAUGCAGUCUCAUAGGAGUAACCUGUCUAAAGCAUUUAGCAAUGGGAUUGGAACCUGCGACGUGUGACUCAUCUGAAUACUGAAUUUUGAUACCAAGCAUGACCAUGAUUUGCCAGAAGAUCAUCUGUUUGGAUGUGACAUGGAAUAAACAGCAUAGUGAAAAUAAGUCAAGUUUUGGUUUGUGAAGACAAUUUUUAAACACACUGUAUCAUUUUUAAAUUUUAAUUUGACAACAUAAAUCCACAAAUAUGAACAUAUCAAUUGCUCUCAGUUUUUCAAGUGAAAUAGUUUUUGUAACAGAAAUACAUGUACCAGUAAUUACAUUGGAAUAAAUGUUAUUUUUAAAUAUAAUAAUAUUUUGUUUGUGUAGCAUGUUGACCUCUUUAUUAAGGUCUUCCCUUUCAAAGUUUAGACUUACUUAUUCUAAUGAUUAAGAUAGAUCCUCUGUCUUCAGCAGGAAUAUAAGAUCUUGUAAUACAU